UGGUACUGUGUUCUUCUGUCCUUGUGUGU
RNAcentral lists this non-coding RNA (29 nucleotides) under Mus musculus (house mouse). Lineage: Eukaryota; Metazoa; Chordata; Mammalia; Rodentia; Muridae. The record is from RNAcentral.